Molecule: small RNA, 26 nt
Filed under: Bombyx mori (domestic silkworm)
Lineage: Eukaryota; Metazoa; Arthropoda; Insecta; Lepidoptera; Bombycidae
Description: ovarian small RNA-22888
Source: RNAcentral
UAGUAGAAGUAACCAUAGGGUAAGCA